This 513-nucleotide ribosomal RNA is filed under the name uncultured bacterium. RNAcentral describes it as "bacterial SSU rRNA". It matches the Rfam family "Bacterial small subunit ribosomal RNA", at positions 791 to 1304 of the family's 1533-position model. The record is from RNAcentral.
UAGUCCACGCCGUAAACGAUGACAACUAGCCGUCGGGACCCUUGAGGUUUUGGUGGCGAAGCUAACGCGAUAAGUUGUCCGCCUGGGGAGUACGGCCGCAAGGCUAAAACUCAAAUGAAUUGACGGGGGCCCGCACAAGCGGUGGAGCAUGUUGUUUAAUUCGAUGCAACGCGAAGAACCUUACCACCCCUUGACAUCCUCAGAACUUGUUAGAAAUGACUUGGUGCCUUCGGGAACUGAGUGACAGGUGCUGCAUGGCUGUCGUCAGCUCGUGUCGUGAGAUGUUGGGUUAAGUCCCGUAACGAGCGCAACCCUUACCCUUAUUUGCCAGCGAGUAAUGUCGGGAACUCUAAGGGGACUGCCGGUGCAAACCGAGAGGAAGGUGGGGAUGACGUCAAAUCAUCACGGCCCUUACGUCCUGGGCUACACACGUGCUACAAUGGUCAGUACAGAGGGCAGCCACUACGCGAGUAGGAGCGAAUCCUUAAAACUGAUCUCAGUUCGGAUCGGAGU